GUUCUCACUUAGGCAGCACAUAUACUAAAAUUGGAAUGAUAAAGAGAUUAACAUGGCACCUGCACAUGGAUGACAUGUAAAUUUGUGAAGUGUUCCAUAUUUUU
This 104-nucleotide small nuclear RNA is filed under the name Microcebus murinus (gray mouse lemur). The record is from RNAcentral. Lineage: Eukaryota; Metazoa; Chordata; Mammalia; Primates; Cheirogaleidae.